GCUGCAGAAGACAACAUGUCAAGGCCGGGGAGGAAGAGGAGAGAGGACAUAUGGGGAAAUUUUUAUAUUUGACGUAAAAGAUAACAAGACGCAGUGUAAGACAUGCAGCGCGAGGAUUAUGGGGAAAAACACAACAAACUUGAAGCGACAUUUACAGUCAAAUCCCCCCGAAAUCCACACACAGGGGGCCGAUUUGGACCCAGGGACCUUCGGCGACCCCCGGAAGUGACCAGAAGGCGGAGCGGGACGGGUACGGCUACGUAGGUCCCGCGAGUGACCGGAGACUGGCAAGGAGAGUGGGCGUGCCCAAUACGUUGACGCGGAAACCCUGCCUCGCGUGUAAGUGUGACGUCAGCACCGGUUUAACGUCUCCUUGGUUUUAGAUGAUUCUAUCCCCGUGGCCUGCCUCCAUUUUAAUUGUGUGUGCAGGAGGACGCCGUGGAAGUGGGCGGAGCCAGGAUAUAGACCCACUACGUCUGUCGGGACUGUACCCUCACCUUUAGUAUUGGUUACCAAUUGGUAUUUUUAGUGUUGACAAUUUGACAGUUUUUCAUUUAUAUUGUAAUAAAUUGUGAACGAGUAUAAUCAUCUUUCCUUAUUUUAAGACAGCUGCUCUCACUACAUUGGGUUCUUAAUAUUUAUAUUUGUUUUAAGCAACAUGUUCAUUAGAUUUUAAUGUUUUACCACUCGGGUCCAUCUCACAUUCAAAUAAGUAUAACAUAUAGAACAUGCUGUGUCACGACGCGGAGUCGAACCCGCGUUUCCUCGGCGGCUGGAGGACUCUGUUGACAGUGCAUUCAGACUCGCCCUCACUCGUGCUGAGUGCAGCACGCCCAAGCAGCAACAAGCCUGCAGCCUGUCAAGAAUCAACACACCUGGAUUUGAUGAGAGGGAGCAGCAUAAAAGCCAGCAGACCCGUGGAACCUUUGCCAGAAAGUCGCUAUCUUCUCAUGACUCCCCUGUCUUCCGUGAUCGUAACUUGCCUGUCGACAUCCAUCCGGAUUCCUAGCUGCCUUCCUUGAUCCACGACCUCCCUGCUCGGACCCAGACCACGCUGCCUCGCUCCUGCCCCCGACAUCUUGCCUGCUCACGAACUGCCUCUUCGCCUUGCCCCUCUGGAUUCGACGAAGGAUACAACCAACACUCAGACAACAAACCCUGGUAACAUUUAUAUUAAUAUUACACAUAGUCAUCACUCAUUCACUUGGAGUAGCAUACAAACGCCAUGUAUCAUCAAAGGUUUAAAUAAACCUUGUGAACCGCA
Long non-coding RNA from Nerophis ophidion (straightnose pipefish), 1264 nucleotides. RefSeq lists it as uncharacterized. Lineage: Eukaryota; Metazoa; Chordata; Actinopteri; Syngnathiformes; Syngnathidae. The record is from RefSeq and is a predicted model, not a curated record. The transcript is spliced from 3 exons.